RNAcentral lists this ribosomal RNA (432 nucleotides) under uncultured bacterium. Its description in RNAcentral is "partial 16S ribosomal RNA". It matches the Rfam family "Bacterial small subunit ribosomal RNA", at positions 29 to 506 of the family's 1533-position model. The record is from RNAcentral.
AACGAACGCUGGCGGCAUGCCUAACACAUGCAAGUCGAACGAGACCUUCGGGUCUAGUGGCGCACGGGUGCGUAACGCGUGGGAACCUGCCCUUAGGUUCGGAAUAACUCCCCGAAAGGGGUGCUAAUACCGGAUAAUGUCUUCGGACCAAAGAUUUAUCGCCUUUGGAUGGGCCCGCGUUGGAUUAGCUAGUUGGUAGGGUAAAAGCCUACCAAGGCGACGAUCCAUAGCUGGUCUGAGAGGAUGAUCAGCCACACUGGGACUGAGACACGGCCCAGACUCCUACGGGAGGCAGCAGUGGGGAAUAUUGGACGAUGGGCGAAAGCCUGAUCCAGCAAUGCCGCGUGAGUGAUGAAGGCCUUAGGGUUGUAAAGCUCUUUUACCCGGGAUGAUAAUGACAGUACCGGGAGAAUAAGCUCCGGCUAACUCCGU